AACCGAGUCUUAAUUGGGCGUUAAGUUGCAGGGUAUAGACCCGAAACCCGGUGAUCUAGCCAUGGGCAGGUUGAAGGUUGGGUAACACUAACUGGAGGACCGAACCGACUAAUGUUGAAAAAUUAGCGGAUGACCUGUGGCUGGGGGUGAAAGGCCAAUCAAACCGGGAGAUAGCUGGUUCUCCCCGAAAGCUAUUUAGGUAGCGCCUCGUGAAUUCAUCUCCGGGGGUAGAGCACUGUUUCGGCUAGGGGGCCAUCCCGGCUUACCAACCCGAUGCAAACUGCGAAUACCGGAGAAUGUUAUCACGGGAGACACACGGCGGGUGCUAACGUCCGUCGUGAAGAGGGAAACAACCCAGACCGCCAGCUAAGGUCCCAAAGUCAUGGUUAAGUGGGAAACGAUGUGGGAAGGCCCAGACAGCCAGGAUGUUGGCUUAGAAGCAGCCAUCAUUUAAAGAAAGCGUAAUAGCUCACUGGUCGAGUCGGCCUGCGCGGAAGAUGUAACGGGGCUAAACCAUGCACCGAAGCUGCGGCAGCGACACUCAGGUGUUGUUGGGUAGGGGAGCGUUCUGUAAGCCUGUGAAGGUGGCCUGUGAGGGUUGCUGGAGGUAUCAGAAGUGCGAAUGCUGACAUAAGUAACGAUAAAGCGGGUGAAAAGCCCGCUCGCCGGAAGACCAAGGGUUCCUGUCCAACGUUAAUCGGGGCAGGGUGAGUCGACCCCUAAGGCGAGGCCGAAAGGCGUAGUCGAUGGGAAACGGGUUAAUAUUCCCGUACUUGGUGUUACUGCGAAGGGGGGACGGAGAAGGCUAUGUUGGCCGGGCGACGGUUGUCCCGGUUUAAGCGUGUAGGUGUG
Molecule: ribosomal RNA, 852 nt
Filed under: Salmonella enterica subsp. enterica serovar Reading
Lineage: Bacteria; Pseudomonadati; Pseudomonadota; Gammaproteobacteria; Enterobacterales; Enterobacteriaceae
Description: partial 23S ribosomal RNA
Rfam family: Bacterial large subunit ribosomal RNA
Source: RNAcentral